RNAcentral lists this ribosomal RNA (800 nucleotides) under Halomonas sp. K184. RNAcentral describes it as "bacterial SSU rRNA". It matches the Rfam family "Bacterial small subunit ribosomal RNA", at positions 69 to 866 of the family's 1533-position model. Lineage: Bacteria; Pseudomonadati; Pseudomonadota; Gammaproteobacteria; Oceanospirillales; Halomonadaceae. The record is from RNAcentral.
GUAACAGGUCUAGCUUGCUAGACGCUGACGAGCGGCGGACGGGUGAGUAAUGCAUAGGAAUCUGCCCGAUAGUGGGGGAUAACCUGGGGAAACCCAGGCUAAUACCGCAUACGUCCUACGGGAGAAAGGGGGCUUCGGCUCCCGCUAUCGGAUGAGCCUAUGUCGGAUUAGCUAGUUGGUGGGGUAAUGGCCCACCAAGGCGACGAUCCGUAGCUGGUCUGAGAGGAUGAUCAGCCACAUCGGGACUGAGACACGGCCCGAACUCCUACGGGAGGCAGCAGUGGGGAAUAUUGGACAAUGGGGGCAACCCUGAUCCAGCCAUGCCGCGUGUGUGAAGAAGGCCUUAGGGUUGUAAAGCACUUUCAGCGAGGAAGAACGCCUGGCGGUUAAUACCCGCCAGGAAAGACAUCACUCGCAGAAGAAGCACCGGCUAACUCCGUGCCAGCAGCCGCGGUAAUACGGAGGGUGCAAGCGUUAAUCGGAAUUACUGGGCGUAAAGCGCGCGUAGGUGGCUUGAUAAGCCGGUUGUGAAAGCCCCGGGCUCAACCUGGGAACGGCAUCCGGAACUGUCAAGCUAGAGUACAGGAGAGGAAGGUAGAAUUCCCGGUGUAGCGGUGAAAUGCGUAGAGAUCGGGAGGAAUACCAGUGGCGAAGGCGGCCUUCUGGACUGAUACUGACACUGAGGUGCGAAAGCGUGGGUAGCAAACAGGAUUAGAUACCCUGGUAGUCCACGCCGUAAACGAUGUCGACCAGCCGUUGGGUGCCUAGCGCACUUUGUGGCGAAGUUAACGCGAUAAGUC